UUAUUCUUUAAGGUAUUUUUGAAUAUUUUUUCAUUCUCAAAAUGAGGCUAAAUACUUAACAAUGUGUUUACAAUAAGAAUAAUUACAAUUUUGCUCGAGCAACAGUUCCUGAUGUUGAUGAAUUUAAUCCGAAUUAUAUCUUUACAGACAGAUGAAGGAGUCUGAACAGCCAUAUCUGGUAUUGAUGGGAAGUUCGGAUCAUUUUACUGAGUCGGAUCUUUGAAUCACGUUCAGCAAAAUGAACUCAUCGUUUUUUCGAGUCAUUUCGUUCAUUUCAGCAGUAUAUAAUUACAAUGUUAUCUGUUAAUAGCCAAUUACCUACUGAACCGAUAGGAUGUUGCGCAUGCGCAGUCAAUACAAAAUGAACGAAUCACUCUCUGAGACGACUCGUUGUUCCCGAGUGAUAUUAAGGAUUCAUUCAAAAAGAAAGAAUCAUUCAUGAACGACACAUCACUAAUAUCUGGCAACCCAGGAGAAGGCAGCGCCCAGGGGUGUAUCUAGGAUUUGAAAACAUCAGGGGCUGAGCCCAAAACAUCCGGGGCUAAUUGAGGAGAGGGGGCCACUGGAGGAGACAUCCAAGCUGCCCUAGAGCUCAUAUUUGCUGGUGGAGCUCCAUGAAAUGCUGCAUACUCAAAGAACAUGCUGUGUAAUAUGUGUGCAGUUAUAGUUGUACAAAUAAUUCUUAAAUAUUUUAAAUAGAGAAGGUGUUCACCCCUUUAUCCUGAUAGGCGAACAUAUGUAUUUUAUUUAUUUUAAUGUCACUGAGUUAUUGGAGCCAAUCAUAGGCGUGUGUGCAUUUCUAAAGGGACAGAUAGCACUUUCCUCUCUGUGUGUGUGUGUAUGUGUGUGUGUGAGUUACUGUAUGCUGCCCUUUGAGGCAGCAGUUCAAAAAGUUUGGGCUCACAUUGGCUGGCUUCACAUGUCUCAGUUGGGGUGUGUGUUGGCCUUCACCCUCCCUGAUUCAGAAAAGCACAAAAAACAAAAGAAUUUUCUGAAAACAAAAAAUAAUAAUCAUUUUAAAAAUUACUGGUAAAAUUACAAUCAAUAUUUUUGGUAGGCACAUCUUUCUUUUCUUUAUGAAAAUGCUUCUUUAUUUUAUUUUUAGAGAGAUAUAGAGAUCCCGGUCUGUUCUUUUAUACUCUUGUCCAUUCUUGUGCAUGUGGACUUCAAAUGAAACCACAGGUUUUCUGUUGGGUUAAAAUCUGGAGACUGAGACGGUCAUUAUAAAACAUCUUUGGUUUGGAUUAGAAGCAUGUGUGUUGAAAGCUGUAUCAGUGAACCUCCUGGCAGAGGCAGCCAAGUUUUGGGCUGAAAUAUUCCUGGUACUUCAUUCAUCAUCAUGCUAUCAGUCUUCACAAGAGCCCCUGGACCACCAUUUUUGUGAGAUGAUGUGAAUUAGUGCUUAUUUCUUGCAGUGAUUCAGUUAUUUGUCCUGAAAGUGAUGUUUAAUGGUUGAUUUUGAGUGACAACUUGACUGUGGGAAUCAAUUCUAAAACUGUGAUGCAACAGGGAACAGGUUCCAGGGAACUUUCUUCUUUUUUUUCCACAUAUAUGCACUAUAUUGGCAAAGGUUUUGGAACACCCCUCCAAAUCAUUGAAUUCAUGGCUUGGCCCCUUAGUUCCAGUGAAAGGAAUUCUUAAUGCUUCAGCAUACCAAGACAUUCUGAACAAUUUCAUGCUCCCAACUUUGUGGGAACUAACCCUAACAUCAGUGCCUGACCUCACAAAUGCACUUCUAGAGGAAUGGUCAAAAAUUCCCAUAAACACACUCCUAAACCUUGUGGAAAGCCUUCCCAGAAGAGCUGAAGCUGUUAUAGCUGCAAAGGGUGGGCCAACUCCAUAUUACAUUCAUGUGCAUGUAAAGGCAGACGUGAAUUCCCAAAACCUUUGGCAAUAUAGUGUACUUGUAAAGAUAUAUAAUAAGAAUAAUAUAUUAUAACAAGCAUGUAUUUAUUUAAAUUAUUCCUGAUGGUUGUCAAUAAUUUUGUACAAGUAAUCAGCACAAUGCAAAAAUCACAUGAAUACUAAUCAAGAGCUUCGACACUGGUGGCUCAGUGGUAGGUUUCUCACCUAUCAUGUGGAAGGCCCGGGUUCAAUUCACAGCCAGUGCCCGACCCCAGCCACUGGAUGUAGCGCCGGUCCCAAGCCCGGAUAAAAUGGGAGGGUUGCGUCAGGAAGGGCAUCCGGCAUAAAAAACCUGUGCCAAGUUGUUGUGCGGACCAGUUGGUCUGCUGUGGCGACCCCAUGACAUGGUUGUGGAUACCAGAUGAGCUGGUUUGAGAAUUUCCACAGAACAUAUAUUGCUCACUCAGAAUUUAAUAGUUUUUUCCCCCACCACUCUGUGUAAACUCUACAGACUGCUUUGUGUGAAAAUAAAAUACUCAAAACCAGCCCAUCUGGCACUAACGUCCAUGAAGAUCUUGACCUGUAUCUGCAUGAUACAGCUGCUGCCACAUAAUUGGCUGAUUAUUUAACUGUAUAAAUGUACAGAUGUGUACAUUAAAAAUAAAUUGGAUGAUGAGUA
Molecule: long non-coding RNA, 2524 nt
Organism: Hemibagrus wyckioides
Lineage: Eukaryota; Metazoa; Chordata; Actinopteri; Siluriformes; Bagridae
Exons: 2
Source: RefSeq, a predicted model, not a curated record